RNAcentral lists this ribosomal RNA (253 nucleotides) under uncultured bacterium. RNAcentral's name for it is "partial 16S ribosomal RNA". It matches the Rfam family "Bacterial small subunit ribosomal RNA", at positions 524 to 776 of the family's 1533-position model. The record is from RNAcentral.
UACGUAGGGUGCGAGCGUUGUCCGGAAUUAUUGGGCGUAAAGGGCUCGUAGGCGGUUUGUCGCGUCGGGAGUGAAAACCUUGGGCUUAACUCAGGGCUUGCUUUCGAUACGGGCAGACUAGAGGUAUGCAGGGGAGAACGGAAUUCCUGGUGUAGCGGUGAAAUGCGCAGAUAUCAGGAGGAACACCGGUGGCGAAGGCGCCGCUCUGGGCCGAAACUGACGCUGAGGAGCGAAAGCAUGGGUAGCAAACAGG